AGUCAGCAGGGCUCUUGAGCCAGAUCUCUUUUUAUCAGAAACAUAGGGCAGCUGGCAGGGAAGUCUCUGAAACUCGCUUUCCCACCUUGGUCUGAAAUAGCCCAGACUUGGUAACUGUCCAGGCUGCAGAAUGUCUGUUUACCAGGGCUUUUGGAGGAGGCUGAGGUCAUGUUUCCUAUAAUGCUGGAGGGGUGGCUGGCUGGCUGCAUUGCUAUUGAAAUAGUCACUUUAAUGCUGCUAGGAAGUUAUUGAUUGAUUGUUUUAUAAUGUUAGGGUACCUGGACCAAGAGCCUCAAAGGUACUGAGGCCCUAACUAUUUUGGGGGACCAGGUACCUUUGAGGGUCUAGCCCUUAUCCAAGCUGCUAAGUGUGAUUUUUAUUUUAAUUCUAAAAUCUAUUUUCCUUCCCAAUACACAUUUUGCCCACAUUCUGAAACGUCGCUGACUACUCGGGACUACCAGUUGGAGUCUGUGCUCUGGGGAUGCCUGCAGGGAAAUGCUGGUGGAAGAGUUUUUUCUGGUGGGCACCAGCAGAGCUUUGUGAGGAAAGCGGCAGGUACCAGCUACCGUAUGGAGGAGCUUUCUCUGGUGCUUGAUUUCUCAAGAGUGGGAGUCGCAGAUAAAAGCACCAACAAUAACAGGUGUACUUAUGGAAUAUAAAUGGAUUUGGUAGCUGACAGUGCUUUUGCUGUCAUGCAUUGCCGUAGUUUCUGUGCACCUCCCACCUGAAAAAGGCGCAAAAAUGGCUCUCUCCCUGCUAGGCACAACCCUGCGUUGAGGUGGAAUGGAGCUGUCCCUUGCCAGCACAAUGAAAUUCUGAGUAUGGUGAGGUAGUGGUGGAGAUCCUCAGAGGGCUGAUGAGUGCACAGGACCCAGGACUGGCUUCCGCUAGCACACAAUGGCAAACUCCCAGUAGCUUCAAUGGAUGCAGGAUUAAAGUUCAAGACACAUAUCAAGUUGGCAAACAUGAUGGCACUGAUGACUCAAUAGUAAAUUAUUAUUGGUAGUUUUCAAACUAACUUGACCACCACUGAAGCUUCAGACCCCUACAAAAUUUCAAAUGGAGGUAUGACUCCCUUCAGCAUUCUUAGACAUAAUCUGCAGGCUCCCAGGGAUCUGUGGACCAUAGGUUGAAAAUCACUGUGCUAGGCUUUUGGGUCAGUUGUUUCCCACUAUACUCUGGCAUGAGAGAAAAGCCUCUCUGUGUGACAUCACAACUUCUCAUGUAGCAUAACUGGGACUCACAUUAUCUAAUCUGAGGGGAGGAACAUCACAUGGCUGAAUUCUAAAGAAUGCUAAACAACAAUGAAUAUACACAUGAAAUCAAUGAUGUCAUAUCAAGGAAAUAAAUGUUUUUAAGUUGGAUUUUCUAAGGAUCUUAGGAUAAGUUAGAUUUGUUCAGGUUAUUUAGCACUUGCUGAGCUGUUCGGUAACCCAAGGCCUAGCUUCAAAUGUAUAAUGUAUUUCUUAAUCUCCCUCCCCAUUAGUCAUUAGAAGAACAGAGACCCAAAAAAAAAAAAUAGAACAGCGUCUGCCACUUUAAAGCCUUGUACAAAAAUAAAUCAAGGUUGUCCUCCUGCCAGUUCCAAAAAAUCCUGAACAGUCCUUUGUAAAUUUCACUUUUCAUUUGUCCAUUACAACAGAAAUAGCCCCAGUUGCUCAAGCUUACUUCUCAGUCAGAUUCCAGAGUGAGUUAAGUUUAAGUUCCCCUGCCUGGAUAUCUCCAUUUAGUAUCUUCUCGCUUAUUCAGGUUUGUUUAUCAAUCUAUUUUUUGAACGAAAUGCAUUGGCGGGGGAGAAAAGAAAAAGCAACAGCUCAAUUUAGAUAUUUCAAAGGGCUCAUCUGAGAUGUUAUCUGCAUGCACAGGACUCCACUGUCAUGUUGGGGUAGACCUUAAGCACCACGUUCUUAUUUUCAUCAAAGAAUAAGAUGCUGAGAGAAGACAUUUUGUCAGGGACGCAGCAAGGCUCAGGAAUACCAGGGAUGACCCCAACUGCUCUCACUAUGCUCUGGAUGGUGGCAUGGUUCGAUGGCUUCAAGACCUGCAGAAGGAAGAAGACGAGAAGGAAAUGAUGACAGAAUCUAUUCCUGCACUCAGAGACUGAGCAAUGCACGGGACACAUCCUGAGUUCUCUUAACUCCAUUUUAAGCUUCUUACUGGGAGCUCUGAAUGGCUCUUCGGACAGGGAACCUGCGGUACAUGAGGUGCGAGGCAUUAGAGGAUCACGGAUUGCUCACCAUCACUGAAAUGGGGUCUAAGAUGGCGGCCAUUCUGCACUUGGAAUGCGUCUCAACUGUCUGGAGGAGGGGAAGUGAAGAUUCAUCAGUUUUAACAAAGUUGCUAUUUGGUGUUUUAGUUUAGUUUCCUAAAGACUUUGCAUUUCUCCCCACUCUCACGGUUUUCUUCGGUCAAGUUUGAAACUAUCAUCCAUAAUCAUGUCACACAAAAGAGGAGAGCAGGUAUUCCCUAGUUUAGGGUAUAAUGCCUGUCCUUAAUAGCUGAGGUUUUGGUUCAGCUAAUCAGUAGAUCUGACUCUGUUUGGGUGGGGUUUUAAACUCAAACCCUGGACUACUCACUUUGGAUGGAGCACUGAAAUAUACAAUUGCAUCUCAAUAAACGCUCUGAAUUAAACAGUUUAAAGUACACGUCUGUUUACAGGAUUGAUUCCAAAGGUGCUCAGAGUAAAGGCCUCCCAUGGGCGGGAGCUGUGGGUGUGGUGGAUCAUCUGGCAAAGAGUCUCAGUAAGUGUCAACAUUAUUUGGUACUGGGUGGAUCACACCUAUUUCCUUAAAUAUCUGAAAUGUCUUGUGUGUUACCCUCUAGCCCACAGAAAAUACACAGCCCAGAAAUCUUUAGGGUGGGAUUUUCAAGGAGCUCAGGCUUGGGCUAACUUUGCUCUCAUUGAAGUUAACGGCCAACUUCACUGGCAGCAAAGUCCGGCCAAAGCUGAACAUUUUACAAUUCCCAACGGAAAGGGUUAAACUGGCAUAUACCCUGCACACAGAGUGUUACGUCACCUUUGCCUGAAGGCAGCCUGCUCUGUCUGGUUCCUACUAAUGAAAAGCAGGCUGGAUCUCACAUGAGAUUUUCUCUUAGAGGAGGAAUGGUGUAAGGGAAAAACCCAGUAACCUCCAAGUGGCCAGAUCUGUGAACGAGUCCAGCUGUGGUUAGGGCUGCACCUGCUAAGCUGCACGCAUCCUUGAGAGACUUGCUGCCCCGUUGAAUGUCAUUACAGAUGUAUUAGGAGUGGAGAGAAUGAUGUCAGCGACCAGCUUUCAUUCGUGA
Molecule: long non-coding RNA, 3285 nt
Organism: Mauremys reevesii (Reeves's turtle)
Lineage: Eukaryota; Metazoa; Chordata; Testudines; Geoemydidae
Exons: 7
Source: RefSeq, a predicted model, not a curated record